Molecule: ribosomal RNA, 425 nt
Filed under: uncultured bacterium
Lineage: Bacteria
Description: partial 16S ribosomal RNA
Rfam family: Bacterial small subunit ribosomal RNA
Source: RNAcentral
GUGGGGAAUAUUGGGCAAUGGGCGAAAGCCUGACCCAGCAACGCCGCGUGAAGGAAGAAGGUCUUCGGAUCGUAAACUUCUAUCCUUGGUGAAGAUAAUGACGGUAGCCGAGAAGGAAGCCCCGGCUAACUACGUGCCAGCAGCCGCGGUAAUACGUAGGGGGCCAGCGUUGUCCGGAAUGAUUGGGCGUAAAGGGCGCGUAGGCGGCCUGGUAAGUCUGGAGUGAAAGUCCUGCUUUUAAGGUGGGAAUUGCUUUGGAUACUGUCGGGCUUGAGUGCAGGAGAGGUAAGUGGAAUUCCCGGUGUAGCGGUGAAAUGCGUAGAGAUCGGGAGGAACACCAGUGGCGAAGGCGACUUACUGGACUGUAACUGACGCUGAGGCGCGAAAGUGUGGGGAGCAAACAGGAUUAGAAACCCUUGUAGUCC